This 497-nucleotide ribosomal RNA is filed under the name uncultured bacterium. RNAcentral describes it as "partial 16S ribosomal RNA". It matches the Rfam family "Bacterial small subunit ribosomal RNA", at positions 28 to 507 of the family's 1533-position model. The record is from RNAcentral.
GAUGAACGCUGGCGGCGUGCCUAAUACAUGCAAGUCGAGCGAACAGAUAAGGAGCUUGCUCCUUUGACGUUAGCGGCGGACGGGUGAGUAACACGUGGAUAACCUACCUAUAAGACUGGGAUAACUUCGGGAAACCGGAGCUAAUACCGGAUAACAUAUUGAACCGCAUGGUUCAAUAGUGAAAGGCGGCUUUGCUGUCACUUAUAGAUGGAUCCGCACCGUAUUAGCUAGUUGGUAAGGUAACGGCUUACCAAGGCAACGAUACGUAGCCGACCUGAGAGGGUGAUCGGCCACACUGGAACUGAGACACGGUCCAGACUCCUACGGGAGGCAGCAGUAGGGAAUCUUCCGCAAUGGGCGAAAGCUUGACGGAGCAACGCCGCGUGAGUGAUGAAGGUCUUCGGAUCGUAAAACUCUGUUAUCAGGGAAGAACAAAUGUGUAAGUAACUGUGCACAUCUUGACGGUACCUGAUCAGAAAGCCACGGCUAACUACGUG